AAAUUUCAAAAAAAAAAAUAAAAAAAUCUGUUUUUAUCAGUUUAAUAUCUGAUACGUCCCCUACCCGGGGACCAUAUAUUAAAUUGAUUUUUGGAACUGGGAGAUGGAAUAGGGGCUUGCUCCGUCCACUGCACGCAUCGACCUGGUAUUGCAGUACCUUCCAGGAAUGGUGCACCCCCC
This 180-nucleotide small nuclear RNA is filed under the name Labrus bergylta (ballan wrasse). RNAcentral describes it as "U2 spliceosomal RNA (ENSLBEG00000009299.1)". It matches the Rfam family "U2 spliceosomal RNA". From Rfam's summary of the family: U2 is a small nuclear RNA (snRNA) component of the spliceosome (involved in pre-mRNA splicing). The record is from Rfam by way of RNAcentral. Lineage: Eukaryota; Metazoa; Chordata; Actinopteri; Labriformes; Labridae.